Dermacentor andersoni is the source of this 2269-nucleotide long non-coding RNA. RefSeq lists it as uncharacterized. The record is from RefSeq and is a predicted model, not a curated record. NCBI's taxonomy places the organism in Eukaryota, Metazoa, Arthropoda, Arachnida, Ixodida, Ixodidae.
CGCAGAUAGCCGCAAGCGCCGCUGUUCGUGUGCAGGUUAUACGGAGAAAAUCUUGCCAGGACUCGACCGAACGUGUCACGUGAUCGAGCGUCGGAACAGCAGAACCUAGGGCGCAAGUGGCGCCUAUUUGUGGCAACGCAAAGACUGCGAGUGUAAUUUCCUCGAACGUUUCCUUUUCAGAAAACGUUCGGCGUGGUUUGGUGACGUGUGCUAGUGACCAAAGGGACCUGUGCUUACGCCUGUGUUGACUGCUCAGUCAAGAUCACGCUGUGAAGGAAUGGCGUGGAGGUGUCCCAUCGUUACGUACGCCGUCGGCAACUGCUGAGCCUAGUAGUACCAGCACCGGCGGAUCGUCAUGGCUGUCUCCGAAUCUGGAAUGUGGAUGCGUUUCGCCUCCCGUUACCCGGGGCCCUCUGUGGACGAGGACACCGUGUCCUUCGACAUGUCCUUGCACCAGUACCUGGCGGUUCUUUACGCUGGACUCGCACUGUCGCUGGUGGCCCUGGCGGCAGAGAUCCUCGUGCACCGCUAUGGGGGCUAGUGAGAGCGAGAUGACUCACGACGAACGAUCGCACCCGCCAGCGUGAUAGCUCAGUUACUUGCCUGCUCGCUCCUAAGACCACCGCUCUUGCACACUGUAGCGUGUCGGCUGAGAAGCUGGUGUUUAAAACAUGUCUCCGAAAUAACUUUGCGCAUACUAAGUUAUGAAGCCACUAGCCUUGCGACUAUGAGCGAUGCUUCAAUGCAGUGUAUCUCGCAUUUCACUGGUGCAGUAUGUGCGUGAAAUAAGCCUCCAUGCUUACGUCUAAUUUUAUUCCCACAUUAUGCCGCAUGGCAAUCCAACAUUUUCAAUAUCUUUGCAACCGAAGGCGUAAGGAAAAAAAGUAAUAUAUCAAACGUUAAUGCUCUAACUGUGCUUGGGGUAUUUUGGCGUCGAAUUUCGCAAAGUGUAUAGUCAAAAUCGUGAUGAUGGUCUUACGCGUUGCAGUACACGCGGUAUGCCUGAAAAGGUAGAUUUAGGUCGGGGCCAGCUCUGAUUUUCCAUUUCAGAUGCGUGUGGAACGCAGAAAUGCUCUGAGGAAGCAACUACUCAACCGAUUUGAAUGAAUUUUGUUGCAAUCCAGGGAGAAAGGUAAAUUCUCGUGAUUCUGCGUAGGAGCAUCUUGAUUUAGGAAUUUGAAUGUUUCAAAAAAUGUUACGAAUCGAAAUGAAGCAUAAUGUCUGCUAAUCGGUAACUCUUCAGCAAAAGCAGAUUUCGCAGUUCUUUAAACCUCAUCUAUUCGAGCACCUAAAGGGAACAAGUUUCAUGUAAUUAUUUGCACCUUAAGUGCAAUGGUUGCAAUGUUUACAAUGACUAUGCAAGUCAUAUGCUCGCAAAUUGUCGGUAUACUGGGUACUCCUUUCCUUUAAUUGUACCAAAUUUCUUUGAUGUUGCCUGUGGCAGAUAGCACAAUUCUAAUCUUUGAUGUAAAUUACUAGAUUAAUUAUGCUUAAUAAUUAGAUAUAUUAGAUUACUAUUAGAUUACAUGAAAGAGAAAUGAAUGUGUUUAAUUCGUGUAUCAAUAUAAUUGCUCAACAGCGCAUAUUUAUAUCUACGAGUUGUAGCUCGUGUGUAUGCAAGGCAUUUGGAUUUAAAACGAGUAACGAGGAUAUAGUACCGGUUUCGGGAUUUGCUCCGUCAAGCCUGGGGUAAACAUUCGCAGUUCCUCCACUUGCACUUUUCUAGGAAAAUGCUGUCUGACGCAAUUAAACGUAAAAGUUACUGGAAUGUCACUGAAUUUCGUCGCACCCAUCGAAAAUUAAUAUUUCGAAACUGGCGUAUAGUCGCGAGAAUUCGUUCUGAGUAGGCAAGCCUUGUGAGCUGCACCGGCUGCAAUCCGUAAAUUUAAAUAUGUGCCGUAAAAUAAGCAAUUAAUAUGUAAUUAGUAAACUUAUGCUCUACAAUCAAAAUUUCGAUUUGUCUUAGAAGUAGUGGCUUCUCCAACGAGUAAUAUAGAUCAAGGGUUAGAUUCGUACUCGCUGCCACAGGCAAAGCUUUAAAAUGAUUUGGUGCUUCUUCGAACAGCAAUUUCAGAGAGGUGUGUGAUGCACGCGUUUUGUCCGCUUUAGAUUUGACAUAAGGCGCAGUUUUACAGACUAUGUGGUAACCUUUUGUAUUGUUGAGUCACACAGUGCUAAACAUGAUAUCUCAGUUAUUUUUUAAUUUUACGGCUUUCCUACGUUUGUUUUAAAACUUGAUCCCCUGAAUAAAGGAAUUCGUUCUCUGCAA